AAUGUUCGUUUUUGUUCCAAGGGUUAUUUUUAAGCUUAAAUAUCGAAUCACAACGUCCUUAACGCUAGCUGCGAUUUUAUGUUAGUUAUGUACAAUUUUUGAUCUGUUAUACUAUGGCACAGGUGAUAGGUAUUUAUCGUUGUAGAUAUUGUUGAAUAUAGGGAUCAUUGUUAGCAAUCACUAAUAUAGUCUAUAACUGAACCUCGUUCUUCAGUUCAGAUUGGACUCUACUUGGGAUUUCUUUAAAUACAUUUCCAACAGGUACCCAUGC
Schizosaccharomyces pombe (fission yeast) is the source of this 271-nucleotide non-coding RNA. The record is from the annotation of a GenBank genome assembly. Lineage: Eukaryota; Fungi; Ascomycota; Schizosaccharomycetes; Schizosaccharomycetales; Schizosaccharomycetaceae.